UACGUAGGGUGCGAGCGUUAAUCGGAAUUACUGGGCGUAAAGCGUGCGCAGGCGGUUAUUUAAGUCAGGUGUGAAAGUCCUGGGCUUAACCUAGGAAUUGCGCUUGAGACUGGAUAGCUUGGAGUGCGGCAGAGGGAGGUGGAAUUCCACGUGUAGCAGUGAAAUGCGUAGAGAUGUGGAGGAACACCGAUGGCGAAGGCAGCCUCCUGGGCCAGCACUGACGCUCAUGCACGAAAGCGUGGGGAGCAAACAGG
Molecule: ribosomal RNA, 254 nt
Filed under: uncultured bacterium
Lineage: Bacteria
Description: partial 16S ribosomal RNA
Rfam family: Bacterial small subunit ribosomal RNA
Source: RNAcentral